Molecule: non-coding RNA, 183 nt
Submitted as: unclassified sequences
Source: Rfam
CCCGGUGAAGUGCGUCUACUCCACUAUUCUAGGCGUGUUUCGCUAAAUUUAAGGAGGAUAAAUCCGUCUGACUUACGGUGCGGCAGUGUGGAGACCUGUCGUAGUGCUUCCGGAAUUUUGCUUUCCGGCAGCGAGGACGCGCGCGAAAAUGGUAGGCGCGUCUAGAGUCAAGAAAGUAUGGCA